Molecule: ribosomal RNA, 638 nt
Filed under: uncultured bacterium
Lineage: Bacteria
Description: partial 16S ribosomal RNA
Source: RNAcentral
AAUUCACAACACGAGCUGUUUACAGCCAUGCANCACCUGUCUCACGGUUCCCGAAGGCACCAAUCCAUCUCUGGAAAGUUCCGUGGAUGUCAAGACCAGGUAAGGUUCUUCGCGUUGCAUCGAAUUAAACCACAUACUCCACCGCUUGUGCGGGCCCCCGUCAAUUCCUUUGAGUUUCAGUCUUGCGGCCGUACUCCCCAGGCGGGGCACUUAAUGCGUUAGCUACGGCACGGAUCCCGUUGAUAAGGACCCACACCUAGUGCCCAACGUUUACGGCGUGGACUACCAGGGUAUCUAAUCCUGUUUGCUACCCACGCUUUCGCUCCUCAGCGUCAGUACCGGCCCAGAGUGGCGCCUUCGCCACCGGUGUUCCUCCUGAUAUCUGCGCAUUUCACCGCUACACCAGGAAUUCCCCACUCCCCUACCGGACUCAAGUCAUGGCAGUAUCGGGUGGCGUCUCAGGGUUAAGCCCUGAGUUUUCACACCCGACUUACCAAACCGCCUACGAGCUCUUUACGCCCAAUAAAUCCGGACAACGCUUGGUCCCUACGUGUUACCGCGGCUGCUGGCACGUAGUUGGCCCGGACCUUCUUCUGCAGGUACCGUCAUUUUCGUUCCUGCUGAAAGUGGUUUACAAU